UACAGAGGGUGCGAGCGUUAAUCGGAAUUACUGGGCGUAAAGCGCACGUAGGUGGCGACGUAAGUCAGGUGUGAAAGCCCCGGGCUCAACCUGGGAAUUGCAUUUGAGACUGCAUAGCUAGGGUGCGGAAGAGGGAAGCGGAAUUUCCGGUGUAGCGGUGAAAUGCGUAGAUAUCGGAAGGAACAUCAGUGGCGAAAGCGGCUUCCUGGUCCAGCACCGACGUUCAGGCACGAAAGCUAGGGGAGCAAACGGG
This 253-nucleotide ribosomal RNA is filed under the name uncultured bacterium. RNAcentral describes it as "partial 16S ribosomal RNA". It matches the Rfam family "Bacterial small subunit ribosomal RNA", at positions 524 to 776 of the family's 1533-position model. The record is from RNAcentral.